GACUACGUGGUAGAUAGGUCGGAGGUGUAAGUACAGUGAUGUAUUUAGCUGACCGAUACUAAUAGGUCGAGGGCUUGAUCUA
Ribosomal RNA from Lutispora thermophila DSM 19022, 82 nucleotides. It matches the Rfam family "Bacterial large subunit ribosomal RNA", at positions 2843 to 2925 of the family's 2925-position model. The record is from Rfam. Lineage: Bacteria; Bacillati; Bacillota; Clostridia; Lutisporales; Lutisporaceae.